This 433-nucleotide ribosomal RNA is filed under the name uncultured bacterium. Its description in RNAcentral is "partial 16S ribosomal RNA". It matches the Rfam family "Bacterial small subunit ribosomal RNA", at positions 29 to 507 of the family's 1533-position model. The record is from RNAcentral.
AACGAACGCUGGCGGCAUGCCUAACACAUGCAAGUCGAACGAGACCUCCGGGACUAGUUGCGCACGGGUGCGUAACGCGUGGGAACCUGCCCUUAGGUUCGGAAUAACUCCCCGAAAGGGGUGCUAAUACCGGAUAAUGUCCUCGGACCAAAGAUUUAUCGCCUUUGGAUGGGCCCGCGUUGGAUUAGCUGGUUGGUAGGGUAAGAGCCUACCAAGGCGACGAUCCAUAGCUGGUCAGAGAGACAGGUCCGCCACACUGGGGCUGAGACACGGCCCAGAAUACUACGGGAGGCAGCAGUGGGGAAUAUUGGACAAUGGGCGAAGGCCUGAUCCAGCACUGCCGGGUGAGUGAUGAAGGCCUUAGGGUUGUAAAGCUCUUUUACCCGGUAUGAUAAUGACGGUACCGUGAGAAUAAGCUCCGGCUAACUCCGUG